UUCCCACCCAGACACGGAGAUCAGGGAGCAGCAGCAUGGCAAUGGAAGAAAAUGCCUGUUUUCACUUUUAUGUACUUUCAAGUUUCUUUAGCAAGCACCAGUGACUAGAAUAACACGGAAACCUUAACGAAGAGGAGAAGGAGUAGGAGAAGUUUUAAAACAAACGGAGCUCACCCACAUCGCACAGUACCGGCUCCAGGCCUCAAAAGGCGGUGCCAGGGUACGGGCGCGCGCCUGCGCGAAAACAGGCGAUGGCGCUAGGGAAUCCCGAGAGGCCCGACCAAUCAGAAGGCGUUCCGAUCUGACUCCUAGAUCCUUGGCUGUCUGCUGUGAGAAGAGCCCAAGGACGCUCCAACUGCACGCACUUAACACAGGACACCAUGAGAGAAAAGACGGGAAGAGGAAAAGCGCAGGGAGGGACAUAUGGCCUAGAUUCUACCCAGGCAAGAAUUCUGCGGCCACUAGUGGCUCCAGGAACCACGCGGACUUGUGUUCUCAGCUCCUAAAUCCCCCAAGCCAUUUGAGAUUCUAUUUGUUCUUGAAUGUACCUCCUCUUUUGUAAUGAGCUUUAA
Molecule: long non-coding RNA, 572 nt
Organism: Felis catus (domestic cat)
Lineage: Eukaryota; Metazoa; Chordata; Mammalia; Carnivora; Felidae
Exons: 3
Source: RefSeq, a predicted model, not a curated record